Molecule: long non-coding RNA, 2466 nt
Organism: Brassica napus (rape)
Lineage: Eukaryota; Viridiplantae; Streptophyta; Magnoliopsida; Brassicales; Brassicaceae
Exons: 7
Source: RefSeq, a predicted model, not a curated record
AAGUAAAAGAGGCAUGCCCGAGUCUACAGAGCAGAUAAAGGCAAGUGGGCUUUUGCGAGCCCAUCAGCAAGCCCGUUGGCAGAUCGUGGAAUAAAAACAAUACGACAAGAAGCAAAAGGCGAUGAAGAUGAAAAAACUAGAGAGUCAAUGUCAGACAAGAUCCCAAAGAGCUCGAUCGUCCAAAUCCUCUUGUUGAUAGCUCCAAAGAGCACUUGAGAGUCUGUUCUGAGACAGAUGUUAGUGUAGUUGAGUGUGGCUGCGUGUAACAGAGCUCCUCGGAUGGCCAAAGCUUCAGCCAUGCACGGGGAGGAGACGAAAUUCAGAGAGAGGGCUUUGCGGCCUAGCUCCGCUUCCGAUUGGGUAGAGAAGAUCCACGCUAGUCCCGCUGAUUGUGCUUUCCAAGACGCGUCCGUGUUGCAGAAGAUGGUGGGUACCGUCAAGGGCCGGUUGUGAUUGAUGUUGAUGUGAGGCUGUGGAGCCUUCGCAGCGGGGGCUAAAGGUUGAGCUUGCUCCCAUUCCCUUGCCGAUCGAAUUGCUUGGGAGAGAACCUCUUGGGCGGAAAGACGGAGGUUGUGGAAGAUUCGUUUGUUUCUUGCAACCCAGAGGUUCCAGAAAAUCCAUGGAAAGAUGUUUCCUUUAAUCCCCAUUGGUGAGAGAUUCUUCCAGGAGUAGGAUUGUUGCAACGUAGUGGCAAAAGGAGCUUCCGAAUCCAACGACAAAGGGGUAGUCCAUAACUCUUGGGCCCAGACUUCUUUAGCCAGGGAACAGUGGAAGAAGAUAUGGUUCAGGGAUUCAGCAUCUCCACAGGAUUGGCAAAAAGUGUUGCAGGUGCAAGAACUUCAUGCUGUACUAGGGAGAAAUACCCUGUCUUCACCGAGUAUUUUCCAGAGUUCUAUAGAGGCCAGACAUAGGAGUCUUGAACAUCGAGGAGACUGGGUUUGAUGGUUUGAAUGAUCGAAGCGAGCUCUGGAAGUAAGUGGUUGAUUCUCUCUAAAUUCCAUUCUCUUGUUUCCCGAGUGAGAAUAUCUUAGACCAUAAGGUCUUUAUCUAGGUUGAACACAGGGCCGUAAGGCUUCAGCUGUGUUUCCGGGUUAAUCCACGAGUCAGAUCAUAAAUUCGUAGAUUCACCAUUCCCUAUAACCUUUCCAAGGUGUUGCAGUAGGAGGUCUCGCCCUUUGAGAAUACCUCUCCAGCCAUGUGAAAUACAAGAACUUGCUUGCACCUUAAGGAAAGACGUUUUAUGACAGUAGAUGAUCCUUGAAAACAGGCAAUCAGGAACGGUGAGUAUUCUCCAGGCGAUUUUUGCAAGAAGCGAUUGAUUGAAAGCUUCAAUGUCUCGGAAGCCCAAUCCACCCAUGCUUUUUGGCUUCGUUAGUGUGUCCCAAGAGACCCAACAGAUCUUAUUUUCUCCCGCCUUUGGAUCCCACCAAAAUCUGAUAGAAAGCGGGUUGACCAGCUUAUGGACUUCUGAUGCAUUCUGUCGACAAUGGAGGAGAAGAGAUAUUUUUUCCGUCUGCCAAAAUGCUCAGGGAGACCUAGCUGGUGUUUUUCAGGAGAAGGAGAUUGAAGACUUAAGCACAUUUAUCUUCUGUCCAGAUGCUGACUCGUACUUCUGGAGGAUGUCAACAAGGGAGGAACAGCUAUGGCUAUCUGAGUUGGUGAAGAACAUGGUAUCAUUGGCGAACAAGAGAGCCCCGCCAAGACCUCGCCACAAAUAAUGAAGAUAUAGGGGGAGAGGGGAUCUCCCUGUCGAAUCCCCCUCUCUGGAAUAACUCUCCCGACGACCUCAUCAUUAAGGAGAAAAGAGUAGGAGACUGUGGUGAUGCAUUGCAUCAUCCAGAGCACCCAGGUUGAGCAGAACCCCAACCGUUCCAGCACGAAAUCUUGAGGUAGUGGAGCAUCUCAUGAGUAAUCAAGACGUUGUCAGAAAUGACUCUUCCCGGGAUGAACGCCGACUGAUUCUCCGACACUAUACCCUCAAGCACAGGGCCCACUACAUCCCAAUUGGAUUGGAAAAAACUUGCAGAGAAACCAUCGGGUCCCGGUGCCUUGUCUGGAUGGAUAGCAAAAAUGGCUUCUCUUAUCUCCAGAAUCGUCGGAAUGGUAGUGAGCUGCGAGUUCAUAUCUGUAGUAAUGCGUGGGGAGAUGGCUGAGUGUACUAUCUCUGUAGCUGAAGUUCCCGUGAAGGUGAAGAUAUCUGUGAAAUAAGCAGAGAUGACUGCUGCAAUCUCAGAAAAUUAGUAAUGAGCAUCUUCAUGUAUUUAUAUCACCAAUUUUACUUUUAAAACUUUUUAAACUUAUAAUAGCUUUAUGAAUAUUUUACUUCUAAAUGUAAAGAUUUAUAAAAUCUUAUAAAAGAUUUAUAAACUCUUGAAAAAGAUUUAUAAACUCUUGAAAAAGAUUUAUAAAAUCUUAUAAAUAUUUAUAUAUGUUUUAAAAACUUUAUAGAUAGUUGAUACAAGGUUU